UUGGUCCCCUUCAACCGGCUG
RNAcentral lists this microRNA (21 nucleotides) under Ornithorhynchus anatinus (platypus). RNAcentral's name for it is "Oan-Mir-133-P4-v2_3p (mature (guide))". The record is from RNAcentral. Lineage: Eukaryota; Metazoa; Chordata; Mammalia; Monotremata; Ornithorhynchidae.